UACGAAGGGGGCUAGCGUUGCUCGGAAUCACUGGGCGUAAAGGGUGCGUAGGCGGUUCUUUAAGUCAGGGGUGAAAUCCUGGAGCUCAACUCCAGAACUGCCUUUGAUACUGAAGAUCUUGAGUUCGGGAGAGGUGAGUGGAACUGCGAGUGUAGAGGUGAAAUUCGUAGAUAUUCGCAAGAACACCAGUGGCGAAGGCGGCUCACUGGCCCGAUACUGACGCUGAGACGCGAAAGCGUGGGGAGCAAACAGG
RNAcentral lists this ribosomal RNA (253 nucleotides) under uncultured bacterium. RNAcentral describes it as "partial 16S ribosomal RNA". It matches the Rfam family "Bacterial small subunit ribosomal RNA", at positions 524 to 776 of the family's 1533-position model. The record is from RNAcentral.